Asparagus officinalis (garden asparagus) is the source of this 3037-nucleotide long non-coding RNA. RefSeq lists it as uncharacterized. The record is from RefSeq and is a predicted model, not a curated record. NCBI's taxonomy places the organism in Eukaryota, Viridiplantae, Streptophyta, Magnoliopsida, Asparagales, Asparagaceae. The transcript has 3 exons.
CGAAAAAAAUUUCCCCCAAAAGCACUGAAUUUGCCCCCAAAACCAUUCAGAUACCCCAUCUAAACCCUCCCUAUCUAAUUCCUCUUUUAGUUCAUUUCUCUGCAAUCUCGCGCAUUUGUGAAUGGUUAUCAGUGAUUUGAAGAAAUUGAUCGGUGCCCUAACUGAAGGAUUCUCCAAAUGUGGACUUAGGAGAUGAACCCAGUGCUGAUGAAAACAUGAGGGUCAAUGAUGAUACUUUUGUUCAUUUAGAUGAGAACAAUCAAGGGGCUUAUGCAGAUGAGUUUGAGUGGGAUACAGGGCGUUGGGAUGCAACAGAUAAUCCGCUAUUUGAAGGGAGUGAUAUGAGUGAUGCAACAGAGGGUGGAGUGAAGUUUACAAACAGUGAGGGUGAGAGUGGGAUGGGGACUAAUCUACAAGAUGUGAACAUAUGGGAGGAUCAUAUCCUUAUCACUGAGCUAAGGAGAAUGUUAUGGGUAUUAGAGAUAUUGUGGUGGAGAAUACAAAAUAUGUUAGUGAUGAUGCUGAUGAUUGUUACUCAGACGAUGAAUAUCAUUCCUUCGAUAGCUCUGAGGAGCAGUUUUGUAGUGAGGAUGUCGAUGACGUGAUUGAGAAUCUUGAUGGGGCAAUUCACAACACUAACUAUGAAGACCUUGUGUUUGCUAUGGGUGAAAAAUUUAAGGAUAUAAAUGAUCUCAGGCAUUGUUUGCAACAGUAUGGCACUAAAAAAAAUUUUAAUCAUAAUCUGAAAAAGAAUGAUAAUGUAAGGUUAGUUGCCAAAUGUGAAGGUGAGAAGUGACCUUGGAAGUUAAGGGCCAAAAAGGUUACCUGAUCGGAGAACACUGGAGAUUUCAGUGUUUGAAGUUAUACACACACGCAUUGGUGUCAACAAAUAUAAAAAUAACCAAGCAACAACGAAGUGGGUGGAGAAAAAUGUAAUUGGGGAUGUUAAAAAAUAUAGUAACAUAACUCUAGAGCAUAUUCAAGACUUAAUAAGAAGCAAAUAUUAGUUGGAAAUCUCAUAUAAGAGGGUCUGGAGAGGAAGGGAAGUGGCAAGAAACAUGGUAUUUGGGAAUGUUGAAGCUUCUUAUGACUUUGUUUUGUCAUUAAAGAAUGAGUUAUUACAGAGAAAUCCAAGAAGUCAUGUUGAUAUUAAGUUAGAUUGUGACUAUGCUUUUCAGAGAAUGUUCGUAUGUUUCAAUGCAUCAAUAGAGGGAUUUAGAAGUGGUUGUAAGCCAUAUAUGGGCCUUGAUGGUUGUCAGUCAAGGUCCAAGUAUUUGGGAACCUUGUCGUCUGUUAUUGCUUUAGAUGGUAACAAUGGGUUAUUCCCUAUGGCUUUUGUUGUUGUGGAGGGAGAAUCUGGGGAGUCCUGGUAUUGGUUUUUACAAAAUAUAUUGCAAGCUUUUGGUGGUGUAAUCUUGAGGGCGUUAAUUUUAUGAGUGAUCAAGAAAAGGGCUUGUUAGAAGCUAUGUCUAUAUUGUUGCCUCAAGCAGAGCAUAGGGUAUGCAUGAGACACCUAUGGAAAGCAAUCAAAAAAGAUUUUCCUGGAGAUUUUUGUGAGCAAACUGUGUGGGUUGCUGCAAGGGCUUACACAACUAGUGAAUUUGAGAUGCAUAUGCAUAGUUUAAAGCGGGCAUCAAUGGAAGCUUUCAUAUAUUUGAUUAAGAAAAAAUUUGUAUGGGCUAGAAGUCAGUUUUCACCAAUAUCAAAGAAUCACCUUAUAACCAACAAGAGCUGAGAAUCAUUCAAUUCAUGGAUAUUAGAUGCAAGGUAUAUGCCAGUAGUGGACCUUAUUGACAAACUUAGGGUCAAAAUAUGCAAAAGUUCAAUAUUAGGAGGAAACAAGCAAACCAAUGGAAAGGCAAACUGGUUCCUUAUGCUGAAAGGUAUUGUCAAGAAAUUAAUAAAAAGUUGGGUGGUUGCACAGUUCAUCACACAAAUGAUAUAGAAGCUGAAGUGGAGAAUGAAUUUGAGAGGAGAAUCAUCAACUUGCAAGCUAGAACUCGCAGCUGUAGGAAAUGGCAAUUGAUUGGUUUGCCUUGCCAUCCAUGUGGCAAACUUCAUUGGCUCACUUAGAAAUGCACCUUGGGAUCACUUUUGUGAUGAAUACUUCGCCAUUGAUAGAUAUGUCAUAUUUUGUAUUUGUCAUUUUACUAAUAGUAUCAUUAACAUCCACUUGUGCUACUGACAAUUGUAUGUUUGUAGCUAUAAAGAGCCUUAUGCCAAAUCAAUUGGAGUUGUGCCAUCUAAGGAUCAAUGGGAGACAUAUAUGAAAGAUUUCAUCAUUUGACCUCCUCAUACAAAGAGGCCUAGAGGAAGGCCAAAGAAGAAAAGAAUUAGAGCGAAGGAUGAGCUAGAAGGAAGGCCAAAAUCUUUGAAGAGGUUGCACAAGUGUACUAGAUGUCAAGGCUGGAGACACCACAAGAAUUCAUGCAAACAACCAAUUAAUGAUAGGGAUGCGCAACAGCCUUCUACACAAAAUUCAACUGCUUCAACCCAACAUCAAACUUCAAGAGAUGGAGCCUCAAGAUCAAGGGUGUCCAAAGCAACGACUAUUAAAGGGAGAGGCCACCUAGAACUGGGCAAUCAAGAUCAAGAGCACCUUCUCAAUCAUCUCAAGCAACUCAAGCCCCACACCAUACACAUUCAAGUAGCAGCUUCAACAUCCUGUUCCAUACAUCAUCAUCAACCCCAUUCUUUACAAGCAACAACUUCAGCGGUUUCAACACUCAAGUAGCACCAGUAGCUUCACCGCCUACAUCAACCCCACUCGAUACACCUCCAUUUCACCAGCAUGCACUUGGACCAUCCCACCAACACCAGGUGUAACCAAGUAGCCAGCAACCUUCAACUGAAACUUCAAGCUCAUCCCAUUCUGCAGUAGGUAGCGUGGUGUGGAGAUGAAAUAUGUCAAUCUGUGUUGGUGUAUGCGUGCAUUAAGCUCACAUUUUUGUGAAUGUUAACUGCUUGUGUUCAUAUGACGCACCUUUUGCUACGUGUUGAUUUAUGUGUGAAUAUGACACACUUUGUCCUUGGUCUU